This 103-nucleotide non-coding RNA is filed under the name bovine gut metagenome. RNAcentral describes it as "FMN riboswitch (RFN element)". It matches the Rfam family "FMN riboswitch aptamer (RFN element)". From Rfam's summary of the family: The RFN element is a highly conserved domain that is found frequently in the 5'-untranslated regions of prokaryotic mRNAs that encode for flavin mononucleotide (FMN) biosynthesis and transport proteins. This element is a metabolite-dependent riboswitch that directly binds FMN in the absence of proteins. In Bacillus subtilis, the riboswitch most likely controls gene expression by causing premature transcription termination within the 5' untranslated region of the ribDEAHT operon and precluding access to the ribosome-binding site of ypaA mRNA. The record is from RNAcentral.
CUUCGGGGCGGGGCGCAAUUCCCCACCGGCGGUACAGCCCGCGAACCUUAUGGUACGAUCCGGUGAAAUUCCGGAGCCGACAGUAUAGUCUGGAUGAGAGAAG